Arachis ipaensis is the source of this 683-nucleotide non-coding RNA. Lineage: Eukaryota; Viridiplantae; Streptophyta; Magnoliopsida; Fabales; Fabaceae. The record is from RefSeq and is a predicted model, not a curated record.
AAAGUUUCAAGUAGAAAUUUCAAAACAUUUUAAUACUAUGGCUCAAAACAUAUUCAAGCUUGAGGUGUAUGCAUGUAUUCAAUGAAAUCAAAGCAAAACUAACUGUGAGAAGAACAUUAAAUUACUCGUGGUUUUUAUAGAAAACAUUCCAUUUGUUUUACAAGUUUCAAAUAUAAACAGCUCAAAUGCUCAUCAAUAAAAUAUGAAAAUUAUGUAGAUGCUUUUCCUCUCUAAAAUGAAUAGUCCAAUUGUUAAGUUAUUCCAGUUGUCAAUAUCAUUGUUAGAAGAAAAUCUCAGCUUGAAAUCAACCUAUUAUACAUCAAACUCCAAAAGAUUAUCAAUUUUAACCCAAUUUUAACAAGAUCAGGGAUCAGCACAAUGAUUAACAACAAAAAAAAGCACCGAGUGAGGUAAUGAGCACAAAAUCAAGAAACUUUAAUAAAAUCUAACAUCAGAAAAAAAGCAAGAACAAGCCAAUAACAGUUUAUCAGUACCAAUUUAGCAUCAAUCAAUAAGCCAGUAACAGAGUUCAUUAAUCAAGAACAGGCUAGAACAAGCCAGAGUAGUGAGCAAAGCCAAUCAACCAAGAACAAGCCAGUAACAGUUUAUCAGUACCAAUUUAGCAUCAAUCAAUAAGCCAAUGAUUAACAAGCUCAGCACAAUGAUUAACAAAAAAAAAAAAA